GACGAACGCUGGCGGCGUGCUUAACACAUGCAAGUCGAACGGAAAGGCCCUGCUUUUGUGGGGUGCUCGAGUGGCGAACGGGUGAGUAACACGUGAGUAACCUGCCCUUGACUUUGGGAUAACUUCAGGAAACUGGGGCUAAUACCGGAUAGGAGCUCCUGCUGCAUGGUGGGGGUUGGAAAGUUUCGGCGGUUGGGGAUGGACUCGCGGCUUAUCAGCUUGUUGGUGGGGUAGUGGCUUACCAAGGCUUUGACGGGUAGCCGGCCUGAGAGGGUGACCGGCCACAUUGGGACUGAGAUACGGCCCAGACUCCUACGGGAGGCAGCAGUGGGGAAUAUUGCACAAUGGGCGGAAGCCUGAUGCAGCAACGCCGCGUGCGGGAUGACGGCCUUCGGGUUGUAAACCGCUUUCGCCUGUGACGAAGCGUGAGUGACGGUAAUGGGUAAAGAAGCACCGGCUAACUACGUGCCAGCAGCCGCGGUGAUACGUAGGGUGCGAGCGUUGUCCGGAUUUAUUGGGCGUAAAGGGCUCGUAGGUGGUUGAUCGCGUCGGAAGUGUAAUCUUGGGGCUUAGCCCUGAGCGUGCUUUCGAUACGGGUUGACUUGAGGAAGGUAGGGGAGAAUGGAAUUCCUGGUGGAGCGGUGGAAUGCGCAGAUAUCAGGAGGAACACCAGUGGCGAAGGCGGUUCUCUGGGCCUUUCCUGACGCUGAGGAGCGAAAGCGUGGGGAGCGAACAGGCUUAGAUACCCUGGUAGUCCACGCUGUAAACGGUGGGUACUAGGUGUGGGGUCCAUUCCACGGGUUCCGUGCCGUAGCUAACGCUUUAAGUACCCCGCCUGGGGAGUACGGCCGCAAGGCUAAAACUCAAAGGAAUUGGCGGGGCCCCGCACAAGCGGCGGAGCAUGCGGAUUAAUUCGAUGCAACGCGUAGAACCUUACCUGGGUUUGACAUGGAUCGGGAGUGCUCAGAGAUGGGUGUGCCUCUUUUGGGGUCGGUUCACAGGUGGUGCAUGGCUGUCGUCAGCUCGUGUCGUGAGAUGUUGGGUUAAGUCCCGCAACGAGCGCAACCCUUGUUCACUGUUGCCAGCACGUUAUGGUGGGGACUCAGUGGAGACCGCCGGGGUCAACUCGGAGGAAGGUGGGGAUGACGUCAAGUCAUCAUGCCCCUUAUGUCCAGGGCUUCACGCAUGCUACAAUGGCUGGUACAGAGAGUGGCGAGCCUGUGAGGGUGAGCGAAUCUCGGAAAGCCGGUCUCAGUUCGGAUUGGGGUCUGCAACUCGACCUCAUGAAGUCGGAGUCGCUAGUAAUCGCAGAUCAGCAACGCUGCGGUGAAUACGUUCCCGGGGCU
RNAcentral lists this ribosomal RNA (1346 nucleotides) under uncultured bacterium. Its description in RNAcentral is "partial 16S ribosomal RNA". It matches the Rfam family "Bacterial small subunit ribosomal RNA", at positions 28 to 1381 of the family's 1533-position model. The record is from RNAcentral.